UACGUAGGGACCAAGCGUUGUUCGGAUUUACUGGGCGUAAAGGGCGCGUAGGCGGCGCGGUAAGUCACUUGUGAAAUCUCUGAGCUUAACUCAGAACGGCCAAGUGAUACUGCGGGGCUAGAGUGCAGAAGGGGCAACUGGAAUUCUCGGUGUAGCGGUGAAAUGCGUAGAUAUCGAGAGGAACACCUGCGGCGAAGGCGGGUUGCUGGGCUGACACUGACGCUGAAACGCGAAAGCUAGGGGAGCGAACGGG
RNAcentral lists this ribosomal RNA (253 nucleotides) under uncultured prokaryote. RNAcentral's name for it is "partial 16S ribosomal RNA". It matches the Rfam family "Bacterial small subunit ribosomal RNA", at positions 524 to 776 of the family's 1533-position model. The record is from RNAcentral.